Molecule: ribosomal RNA, 253 nt
Filed under: uncultured bacterium
Lineage: Bacteria
Description: partial 16S ribosomal RNA
Rfam family: Bacterial small subunit ribosomal RNA
Source: RNAcentral
UACGUAGGGUGCGAGCGUUAAUCGGAAUUACUGGGCGUAAAGCGUGCGCAGGCGGUGAUGUAAGACAGAUGUGAAAUCCCCGGGCUCAACCUGGGAACUGCAUUUGUGACUGCAUCGCUGGAGUGCGGCAGAGGGGGAUGGAAUUCCGCGUGUAGCAGUGAAAUGCGUAGAUAUCUGGAGGAACACCGGUGGCGAAGGCGGCAUCCUGGACCGGUAUUGACGCUGAGGCGCGAAAGCCAGGGGAGCAAACGGG